CAGGAAGGGUCAAGAUGGGGAUUCAGUUCAUGUUGAGCUGACUCCAAAUCCCAACAGUAAAAGCAGUAGGCUGUUUUAUUGGUAGCGCGCCAGUUUCUUUUACUUAUCGUCUCGACUUCCUGAUUGGAAACUCCGUGGAGCCCAGAACCGUGCUUUUGCAAUAGUCCACCACACAUACAAGACAUUAAGAAUAUUGGGGGGCUGGGGAUUUAGCUCAGUGGUAGAGCGCUUACCUAGGAAGCGCAAGGCCCCGGGUUCGGUCCCCAGCUCCGAAAAAAAAAAGAACCAAAAAAAAGAACCAAAAAAAAAAGAAUAUUGGUCAAUGUAUUUUGUUCAAGACCCUAUUUUUCAAAUUUUAUAUUUUAUAGUAUAUUUCAAGUGUGUGCAAGCCCGGGGGAGAAGACUAUCCAAGUGCCUCUGUGCCUGUCAUCCGACUCUGACAUCUGUCAGCUGUGAAUAAGCAUGAACCACCUACACCACCUCCAUCCGCAGCCCGGAUGGUUUUAAAGUCGGCUAAUGCCCAGCUGGCUGCCUAACGUGCAGCUUUUCCUGGGAUGCAUCUUCUAGGGGCGCCAGUGACCACCGCAGAGGAAAGCUUUCUGCUGUUGAUACUUCGGUGAGAUUUGAAGAGCAAGAACAUGUGGGGACCGGGAUCUAACUCAAGCUCUGGUCCCCUAGCUGUGACCUUGGACAAGCAAAACCAUUUCACUUCAGUUCUCUUUCUGUCCACCAGGGGGCGAGAGUGAGAAGUGAGGAAAACCUUCCCUUUGUGAGGUAGGAAGCCUCAGUAAGACACUUCCUAGCUGUUUGCCUUUGGUCAGCUACUUAACUUCUCUGAGCCUCCAUUUCCCCAUUCACGGAGAAGGAGACAAAUGCCUACCUCGGAAGUUGCUUGGGGAAUUAUGAAACAGUAAAAGUUUGAACAAACAACAGAUGUCAAUCAGCGAGGGUGAAUUCGAGACCAGGCCAUGUUGGGAUUUUUAAUACUCCAUUAGCCAUUUCUUCAAUAUUUCCUGCCACUUCUUUGGAAAACAGGAAAUGGAAAGUGCAGGCCUGAUCAUUACCUUAUAUAUUUUUAAACAAAGAUAUUCUUUGAGUUUCUCGUUAGCGUAAGGCAAGCAAGCCGUGUGACGUCACAGAGACCCAGGGCAUCGACGAAGUCUCCGCCCUCCCCCAUUGCCUCCUGGCUGUAACCCCAGAUCCAACCCUAAAGGAAAAACCCAUCAGGCUCAGAUCAGGAAAAGUGCCCUGAGAGGGGGAUGGGGUGUGCCAACCCCUCAGGAAACCCAGGUCACCUUAGCAAACGUCUGACCUUCAGGUACUCUGAAGAUUUCCACACAGCUUGCCUCCCACAGAGGACGCAAUUUAGAAACCCAUCCUUUCUCACUUGAGAGGCUCCUUGACAUCGAAAGCCUGUGGGGUCUCCCCGGUGGCACCCUCAUUAAGGAAACGAAAUUUAAUUGUCAUUGGGACUGAGGACCUGUGUGGGAUGCUGCUCGCAGCGCUCACUCUGCAGUGACAAAGCAGUGGAGGUUGCCAGAAGCAUGCCGGCCUGGAAGGAAGAAGGUGGCGUCUGAGGAGCAUGCCAGUGCUGAAUUACCCCAUCUGUCGCGUUAAUAACCAAUUGGUCCAGGGGGCUGGGACAUACGGUACCUAUUAGGAUCUGUCUGCACACACAUAACUAUUCAUUUCAUCUGCACAAAUGACUGCUUACUCAUGCAAAUGGCAGGCCUAAAUGCCCACAUUGGGAAAUGCAGCUAAGAAGGCACUUCCUCAACAAAGGUUAUGUUCUAACCCCAGAGAUGUCGAAGCCUAGGAGCCGCCAUGCUGUGGAUGCACUAAACCUCCUACUUGGAAGAAAGAAAGAAAGAAAGAAAGAAAGAAAGAAAGAAAGAAGGAAAGGAAGGAAGGAGAGAAAGGCUGGUCAGCACGAAGGCUCAUUGGAUUAAAGUGUUUGCAGCUAUGCCUAAUGACCUGAGUUUGAGCCCCAGGACCCACAAGGUGAAUAAAAAGAACCAAACUGUCCUCUGACCUCUACACUUGCACUGUAGUGUCCAUGUAUGCUAGCAUUCUGUCUAAGCUCCACCCCCACAGUUACCUGGCAACAGCCAGGUGUGCCCGACACUAAAAGGGGCUGCUUGCCCCCUCCUCACUCUUGUUCCCUCCUGCUCUCUUGCUCUUCCCCUCUUCCCCUUUGUCCCUUCUCUCCCCGUUCUCCUGCUCCCUUAUCUCCACGUGCUUAUUGCAGGCCUCUUCUCUCUCUCUCUCUCUCUCUCUCUCUCUCUCUCUCUCUCUCUCUCUCUCCCCCCUCUCUCUUUCCCACCCCCUGCCUGCCCCUACUCCCUACUUAACUCCCCUCCCUGUACCCAGAAUAAACUCUUUCCUAUACUAUACCUUCGUGUGGCUGGUACCUCAAGAGUACCUCAAGGAUGUCUCAAGCAUGGGCCUGCUGAAGUACCCCCUUUCCUCAUACCUCACCACACCUCCAUAGAACAUAAUCCCCUCUCUCUUUUUUUAAAGAUUUAUUUAUUUAUUAUAUAUAAGUACACUGUAGCUGUCUUCAGAUACACCAGAAGAGGGCAUCAGAUCUCUUUACAGAUGGUUGUGAGCCACCAUGUAGUUGCUGGGAAUUGAACUCAGGACCUCUGGAAGAGCGGUCGGGGCUCUUAACCACUGAGCCAUCUCUCCAGCCCCCAUAAUCCCCUCUCUUUAUCUUUUCAUAAACAUAUCAAUGUGUAUGCCAUCUGCUCUCUUGGAAUGUGCCUGCACGCAUUAGCGCGCGCGCGCACACACACACACACACACACACACACACACACACAUAUAUAUAUAUAUAUAUAUAUAUACAUAUAUAUAUAUAUAUAUUUAAUGGGAGGCAAAAGAAAAUGCCCAUUUGUGCACUAGCUUAAAUUAUUUAUUGUUUUAGAAUACGGGGGUAAAUAAAGUCACGAACAUUAGAUAUGUUUGUUUCUAGGGAAUGGGCAAAGAAAGGAGCUUGAAGGAAAAUCAGAGGGGCCAGCAUGUCUGGGGGCAUCAUGGGGAUACAAGGGGUGAGCCUCGCCCUGGGAAAACCCCUGGCUAUCUGAGAUCUCUCCUGCUGGGUCAAGCUGUCUCUUAUUCAAUUAUGUCUGUGAGAUCCAGGUCUAAUUUAUUUACUGGCAUCAAAAACAGAGCAGGCUUUCUUAUAAAGACAUUUGAAAUGUGUUCCUGGGGUUUAAUACCACCUGUCUUCCUUAGCUGGUAGUUUGGGGGCCUAUAGGAGAGGCUGGUGCGCGUGUGCAGAUAAAAUACGCGGGGUUUUUAAGCCACGCCCCCUCCCACCCCAGCCCUCAUUUCACGUGAUUACCAAGUAGAGACCAGAAUCCCUUGCUCAGCGACUAGGCUUCUGCCCUUAAGUUUUGCGAGCUGUUAGGACAAUGACGCUUAGGCAUUGUGAGCAGUUGGGACAGUGACACGUAAAACCUCCAUUAAGGUUAACCAUUCAGCCUUCAACACGUGGGGCACAUUUCACGUCCAAGGCACUGCAGAGCACACACAAGACAUGGCCGCGGUGACGUGAGCACCAUCGCCUCCAAGGUCUUGAGAUGAGAGACAAUCUGGGUGGACCCUAACUGCAUUUGCUUACAAAUACUGAGCUGUCAGGCAAAACAAGAAAGGUGGGGUGAGGAUAACAGAAAGAGACUGAAGACGUAGCCCAGAAGGUGGGAGGAAGGCACCCACAAACCUAGGAAGGCCAGCAGCAGAGCGGGCUGGAACAGGUGAAGGGGUUGGUGAGGGGCUGACCUCCUGAUUUCAGCCAACGGAGACUGACUUGCUGAACUAAGACUUCUCUAGAACUAAGAGAAUGGGUUUCUGUUGUUAGAAGUUUAAUCCCCUUGUGAGAUGUUAAUUGAAUAGAAACUUAGUCUGUCUGGGACAAGGUAAUCAGAAGAAACUCUCAGGGCUGACCCCAGAUUGUCUUAUUUUUUUUAUUUGUUUUUUAAAAGAUUUAUUUAUUUAUUAUAUAAGUACACUGUAGCUGUCUUCAGACACACCAGAAGAGGGCAUCAGAUCUCAUUAUAGAUGGUUGUGAGCCACCAUGUGGUUGCUGGGAAUUGAACUCAGGACCUCUGGAAGAGCAGUCAGUGCUCUUUUUUUUUUUUUUUUUUUUUUUUUUUUUUUUUUUUUGGUUCUUUUUUUUCGGAGCUGGGGACCGAACCCAGAGCCUUGCACUUCCUAGGUAAGUGCUCUACCACUGAGCUAAAUCCCCAGCCCCUGCAGUCAGUGCUCUUAACCACUGAGCCAUCUCUCCAGCCCAGAUUGUCUCAUUUAAACAGAGGAGCAGGAGGCUGGAAGUCACAAAAACACUCCCUGGUUCACGCUGAUUGAAACCUCUGACAACAAGAAGGCCAUUUAAAGGACACACGGUUAUCUGGGGUCUGUGAGAGACAAGGUGGCUCAAAUACCAGUCAUGGGAUGAGUUCUAAACAAUAAAUUAGUACCAGAUCUCAGGGCAUAUGAAAGUUGGGACUUUGUGGACCAGGGAGCCAAUGGCAAUAUGUAUGUAUGUAUGUAUGUAUGUAUGUAUGUAUGUAUGUAUGUAUUUAUAUUUAUUUUUAGGCGUGCACGCCUGAGCGUUCUUGUUUGUCAUGUGCACACAGUGCUGUGUAGGUCAGGUGUCCGAUGCCCUCAAACUGGAGCCUCGGGCGGUUGUGAGCCGCCAGUGGGCACUGGGAACUGAACCCAGGUCCUCUUCACGAGCAGUCCGUGCUCUUCACCACUGAGCUGUCCUUCAGUCCAACCCACCGGUGGUUUUUAAGGGAGUUAACAUCUUCGUUUGAAUUGAGAGUGUAGACCGGAGGAGGAGACAAAAGGUCUGUAAGCUUGUAACCCACCAGUAAAUCAGCACACAUGGAUGGGAAGGAGAGAGAGAAAAUAAGACUCAGAAUGCAACCAGCUGCUGGAAUAAUGUACCGUAAACUUGGGCUGUGCUCCUCUGGGACGCUACAAGAGAACACCACAAACCGUGUGGCUUAAGAGGAAGAGACGCUUACUUCCUACAGUUCUGAGGGCCGGGAAGCCCAAGGCCAGUUGCUAGCAGACCUGCGUGUGGUGAAGGCUGGUUUCUGGUUUUGCAGAUGCCCCUUUUUGCUGGGUCCUUCCGGGGCAGAAGGGGUUAAACCACCUCUGGGAUCCUUCCUAGAGGUUCUGCCCUUGUGACCAAGUCACCUCCCAAAUGUCAGUGGACGAGCUCUGCGGAGAUGAAAACACAGAACAUGGAAUUUUUGAAGAGAUGAACGAAUACAUUCCCAGACAGAUGAGAGUGACUGACCUAUAUGCAAUUUAAAAACAAGCUGUGUGUCUAAAAAUUAAAUUCAUGCGCUGACUGCUGCCCUUAUAUUGAUCUCAGAUUUUAAUGGGCACGCACCUCACCACAGGCUCUGGCUACAAUUUAGUAUGGAGAACCCAGGAAUCUGCAUCCCUAACAGGCCUCCAGAUAAAGCUGAAAGACUGAGGUUCACACUCUAGUGAGAAUUAACCAAAUCUUACCACAGUCACUGUAGUGAUUCUGUAACUCACUCCCCCCCACGCCACAGGGACAAACCCAUCAAUGAAAGAGUUCUUACUGGGAACCGGCUCUCUCCACUCUAUUCCCCUAAAAAGGUGGCAUAUCCUGUAUGAAAUGCUCUUCCAAAGAAUACAACAGAAUAAGCCUUGUCUCUCAGACCUGGCUCACUGCCGUGGUGUCCUUGGGUGAGUUAUACACACUUCCAGAGUGCCCUGCCUCCAUGGAUAAAUGUGCAGAAGUGUGAUAAUAGGCCUAAUUUGUGUGCACGCUUGUCACACACACCGGGUAAUGGACGUGUAGGGUGACAUAUGUAGAGGUGUGACCCUAACUUCCCCACUCACACAUCAGACCUAGAGUCCUCGGACAGUAUGGAUUAGAGGUAACCUGACCUGGGAAGGCCAUGCUGUGUCACAUAGGACCCCAGGGAAUCGGGUUCAUGCCUGACCCAACCCAUUUUCUCAAAGCCCAAAGCCAGAGGGUGAGCUUGUGCUUGGGUGAGCAGUCACCUGGUAAGAUAGGCAGAGCAGAUCCCAAAGACUCCCAGACAGGCUCGCAAAGCAAGACUCUGUGAGCAAACUAACCAUUAGGUGUAUUAGUGGAGUUUGAAAAUCAAGUACUCCCCAUGGGUGAGAAACUAACUGCCCUGGUAUCCAUUCUCACCCCACACUCCAGUUACCGACUGUGCGGACAAAAUGGUAGAGGGAGGGGAAAGGCAUGUUUGCCAGGCCCUGGUUUUUGCAUCCUGUCAGACUGUUGUGGCCGAGACUUCGGUCCCAGCACUAGCCAACCCUCCGUGGAUGGGUUGCUGCAUUUCUCUAAGCCUUGCUGCAUUGUCUGGAAAUAAAGAUAAUGCCAGCUGGCACCCAGAAGCACUGAGAAAUGAGAUUUGAACUCAUGAGGCAAUGCCAGGUACCAAAGAUGUCCCCAGGGAAGGUUAUUAGCGUUAAAAACUCCAUGUACCAAGCUGGCUUUCAGCUCUGUGACAACAAAAAAUAAUUGCCAUAAUUGCUAGCUCAUUGUAUUAAACAUGGUGGUUAUUCAAUAAAGCCUUUGAAGCCGGAA
Long non-coding RNA from Rattus norvegicus (Norway rat), 6610 nucleotides. RefSeq lists it as uncharacterized. Lineage: Eukaryota; Metazoa; Chordata; Mammalia; Rodentia; Muridae. The record is from RefSeq and is a predicted model, not a curated record.